UUUCAUCCAAUGGUUCAACAUUCCUAAAGUAUAUGACAAGAACUACUCAACUUCAGAUCUUCAGUGAUAUCAAAUCAAGAUGCACACAUGCUUCCAAUUCAAUUCAUUUCACAAGUUACUCAACAGAUGUUACACAUUAUGAAUGAUCAAUCCACUGAGCAAAGAUGCAAUCAUGAAAUUAAGCAAUUCUCACCAGGCAAGUGUUUCACUCAAUCACUCAAGUGUUUUGGGUAACACUCCAACACUCUAUAAUUCACAAGUCACAUGAAACAAAAUUGUCAUUCAUCUAAAACAACCAAAAUCCCUUCAUGCAAAUGCCAUCAUAAGGACUUUUCCAAGGCUUGUAAUGAGGCUGGGCUAACAAGAAGAAUUGGUUUUCCUGAAAUGCAAAAUCCUUGAGUUAAGAGAGCUAUCAUAGUAUUCACAUUUAAGCACAACUUUUUUCUUCAGCAAUCUCACUUAUUCCCAACUUUUUCCCUUUUCUUUUGCAUUGAGCCCAUCUUCAUGCUUUUCUUCUUUUCUUUUCUUUUUCUCAUGUAUUUUUCUUUCACAACAUUUGAGCUCAAUGCUUUUUCAAUUGCCUUUCAAUUUCCCCCAUGCAACCCCAAACUUGAACCUUUUCAUCACAUACAAUUAAGCUCAUCCCAACUCAAGGUAAAGAAUGUCAAGACAAGGGUUCACAUCCUGUUUAAGGAUGAGGUUCAAAAAGGGUAUAAUAUUUUCAAGCACUUUGGGUGAAAAUUUGGCUAGAGAAGGGUUUUCAAAAAUGGCCUUGAUCAUAUGACAUUCACAUGCAAUUCAAUCAAUCAUCAAGAUUAAGGCAAUAUCAUUCAUGCUUUCCUAUGAACAAUACAUACAACAAUGAAAACUCUGGAGCUCAAUAGCUCACACAACAUGCGUUCUCACACAAUAUUCAUUCAAACACCCUGCUUAGCAUCAUAACCACAAUCAUAAUUCAUCACCCAUCUGUUUCACAGAAUAUCAACAUGCAAUGC
This 995-nucleotide long non-coding RNA is filed under the name Vigna radiata. RNAcentral describes it as "long non-coding RNA (VRAD_LNC012482)". Lineage: Eukaryota; Viridiplantae; Streptophyta; Magnoliopsida; Fabales; Fabaceae. The record is from RNAcentral.